UGCUUGCUGCUUCCAAGAAAAGUUUGGAUGAUUCCGCCAUCCCGGGUUAUAUGUAGUAGAAUAUGGAUCAUUACCGGGUCGGGAUUGCGUUUGGGCAGCAUUUACUUGUUCUUGCACAAAUUCAGAAAAAUGUGCUGCCGAAGGGCACUCAAAAACAGUAUGAGACGGACUAGAACAGAGAGCACACACUUGUGCUUGGGGAAAGUUUGGAAGCUGUUCUUUAGACAUUAGCUGGUCCAACUUGCGGGAUAGUGCAUCUACUUUGUCAGAUAGACCUAUGGACUAGCUAACUUCAUAUAUGGUUCCUUUUCUUUGAGAACUCGGGGGUGCUUGACGAGCAGAGGAGGCAUGGUGGGGAGAAUUUUCAUUAAGGUUUUCAAACAUCUGCCAGGCCUCAUGCUCACUCUUAAGCAUGA
RNAcentral lists this long non-coding RNA (416 nucleotides) under Phoenix dactylifera (date palm). Its description in RNAcentral is "long non-coding RNA (PDAC_LNC013490)". The record is from RNAcentral. Lineage: Eukaryota; Viridiplantae; Streptophyta; Magnoliopsida; Arecales; Arecaceae.